GGCCUUGAACCCAACGACAACCCUUUUUGUUUAUACUACAUGUGGUUUCAAUUUUAAAGUAGUACCCCUAAAAGCAUCAGUCAUAUAUAUAUAUUGAUUUAUAUCUCAAACACACAUUCAGCAACAUAAAUAAAACCUAGUCGUGAGCCUCCUUCUUCACUGUUCUUCUCUGAAGAACAUGAAGAACACCAACAAUGAAACCCAAAAAACAGCAACAAUAAAAACCCAAAAAAAUCCCUUCCCAAACAAAUUCAAACCCAUAAAAAUACAACCAGAAAAAUAGCUAAACACAAUAGAAAAAUCAGAAAAGAAAAGGAAAAGAAAACACCAAGCUUUUAUAGAGGUUCCCCAAAAUUGUGUUGGGUACGUCCUCUUCGAGCUCGCCUCGUUCACUAUGGAUCUUCAAUGAUCAAACGAUUACAAUGGGUUGGAUUCCAAAACACACAUGUAUUAAUUUGUACCACCUUGGUUCCAAAGCUUACUCCAUUUUUCGCUAGCUCUGGAGACAACUAUUAAUAAUGGGAAGGUGUUUUUUUCAAUGUGAUGUGGUGAUGUUUUGAAGACGUUAUAGCUUUAUUGUCUAAAUUUCUGGGGGCAGUUUAUCCCAUGUGGCUCGGGAUAAGAAUUCUGCAGCGCAUGGUUUGGCAAAGUGUGUCCUUCGAUUAGACGAUGAGCUAUCCUGGUUCGAGGAGGUGUCGUCGCCGAUUGUAGAUUGCUGCUUUAUUAAUCUUGUGUGAUUUUGAUCACCGCAUCCAAAAAAAAAAGUGUAGGACUCGAUAUUAAAAUACACCAAUAACAGUUUAUCAUCUCUUGUAAUAUUUGGCACCUUGAGGUACCAUUUAACAUUUCUUUUUCUUAGAGUAUCUCCAAUGGUGCAUCAUCCCACCAAAUUGAUAUGAAAUCUUCAAAUCAUUCUACUCUAAGGAUAUAUCAAAUUAGUGUGCACCAAAUUUUACACUAUUAAUAGUGUUGGAUUUUAAAUCUACACAUAGUCGACCCUAAGGUGAGACGAGCCAGGUGUGCGUCUCGGGUCCCAAAAAUUGUAAAAAAAAUUAUCAGAAAAAAGGUAAGGAUUAAUUCCCAACCUUUACUUUUAAAAUUUUUUUUAGAAAUAUUUAAUAUGUAGUUAUGGAUGAUUGAACUUUAGAACUCUUAAGAAUUUUAAAUAUGUUUACCACUAUACUAAAAUAAUAAGUUUAUUAUUUUGAUGACAA
Cannabis sativa is the source of this 1214-nucleotide long non-coding RNA. RefSeq lists it as uncharacterized. Lineage: Eukaryota; Viridiplantae; Streptophyta; Magnoliopsida; Rosales; Cannabaceae. The record is from RefSeq and is a predicted model, not a curated record. The transcript has 3 exons.